GCCCUUAGAGUUUGAUCAUGGCUCAGAACGAACCCUGGSGGCGUGGAUGAGGCAUGCAAGUCGAACGGAGUUCAAGAUGUUAGCAAUAACGACUUGAACUUAGUGGCGKAAGGGUGAGUAACACGUGGGUAACUUACCCUCGACUUCGGGACAACUCGGGGAAACCUGAGCUAAUACCGGAUUCGGCUCGGAGAAGGCAUCUUUUCCGAAUCAAAGGUUUACUGGUCGAGGAGAGGCCCGCGUCCUAUUAGCUUGUUGGUGAGGUAACGGCUCACCAAGGCUGUGAUGGGUAGCCGUGCUGAGAGGUUGUUCGGCCACACUGGGACUGAGACACUGCCCAGACUCCUACGGGAGGCUGCAGUCGAGGAUCUUUGUCAAUGGGCGCAAGCCUGAACAAGCGACGCCGCGUGAGCGAUGAAGGCCUUCGGGUCGUAAAGCUCUUUCAGCAGGGACGAAAAAAAUGACGGUACCUGCAGAAGAAGCCCCGGCUAAUUACGUGCCAGCAGCCGCGGUAAUACGUAAGGGGCAAGCGUUGUUCGGAUUUACUGGGCGUAAAGGGUGCCUAGGCGGCAUGUUAAGUCGGAAGUGAAAUCCUCUGGUCCAACUGGAGAACUGCUUUCGAAACUGGCGUGCUUGAGUACGGGAGAGGAGAGCGGAAUUCUCGGUGUAGCGGUGGAAUGCGUAGAUAUCGAGAAGAACAUUCGUGGCGAAGGCGGCUCUCUGGAACGAUACUGACGCUGAAGCACGAAAGCCAGGGGAGCAAACGGGAUUAGAUACCCCGGUAGUCCUGGGCCCUAAACGAUGUACACUUGGUGUAGGAGGUAUCGACCCCUCCUGUGCCGAAGCUAACGCAUUAAGUGUACCGCCUGGGGAGUACAGUCGCAAGUCUGAAACUCAAAGGAAUUGACGGGGGCCCGCACAAGCGGUGGAGCAUGUGGUUCAUUUCGAUGCAACGCGAARAUCUUUACYAGGGCUUGACAUGCAGCUGCACGACCCGGGAAACCGGGUCUCCUUUCGACGGUGCUGCACAGUGCUGCAUGUCUGUCGUCAGCUCGUGUCGUGAGAUGUGGGUAGUCCCGCACGAGCGCACCCCUUG
This 1096-nucleotide ribosomal RNA is filed under the name uncultured bacterium. RNAcentral describes it as "bacterial SSU rRNA". It matches the Rfam family "Bacterial small subunit ribosomal RNA", at positions 1 to 1107 of the family's 1533-position model. The record is from RNAcentral.